AACGCACGAGACCUGCGGACCUGCGGAAGGAUCAUUACCGAGUUGGGGUAGUCAUUCACUGCCCGACCUCCCAACCCUGUGUCUACCACACUUUGUCGUUGCUUCGGCGGACCGGUUGACCAACUGGUCGUGACCGCCGGGGGCUGGCUCUGUCCCCCCUGGAGAGCGUCCGCCGAUGGCCCAACCACAAAAACUCUUGUACCGAAACGUGUCGUCUGAAUUAUAUUUUGAGAAAUCAAA
RNAcentral lists this unclassified non-coding RNA (240 nucleotides) under soil metagenome. RNAcentral's name for it is "partial contains 5.8S ribosomal RNA, internal transcribed spacer 2, and large subunit ribosomal RNA". The record is from RNAcentral.